Molecule: ribosomal RNA, 520 nt
Filed under: uncultured Glomus
Lineage: Eukaryota; Fungi; Glomeromycota; Glomeromycetes; Glomerales; Glomeraceae
Description: SSU rRNA
Rfam family: Eukaryotic small subunit ribosomal RNA
Source: RNAcentral
AGCAGCCGCGGUAAUUCCAGCUCCAAUAGCGUAUAUUAAAGUUGUUGCAGUUAAAAAGCUCGUAGUUGAAUUUCGGGGUCAGCAAGUUGGUCGUGCCACCGGUAUGUACUGGCUUUGCUGAUUCCUCCUUCUUGUAGAACCGUAAUGCCAUUAAGUUGGUGUUGCGGGAAAACAGGACUGUUACUUUGAAAAAAUUAGAGUGUUUAAAGCAGGCUAACGCUUGAAUACAUUAGCAUGGAAUAAUAAAAUAGGACGACGAUCCUAUUUUGUUGGUUUCUAGGAUUGACGUAAUGAUUAAUAGGGAUAGUUGGGGGCAUUAGUAUUCAAUUGUCAGAGGUGAAAUUCUUGGAUUUAUUGAAGACUGACUACUGCGAAAGCAUUUGCCAAGGAUGUUUUCAUUAAUCAAGAACGAAAGUUAGGGGAUCGAAGACGAUCAGGUACCGUCGUAGUCUUAACCAUAAACUAUGCCGACUAGGGAUCGGAUGAUGUUAAUUUUAUAAUGACUCAUUCGGCGCCUUAC